Molecule: ribosomal RNA, 466 nt
Filed under: uncultured bacterium
Lineage: Bacteria
Description: partial 16S ribosomal RNA
Rfam family: Bacterial small subunit ribosomal RNA
Source: RNAcentral
GACGAACGCUGGCGGCGUGCUUAACACAUGCAAGUCGAACGGAAAGGCCCAGCUUGCUGGGUACUCGAGUGGCGAACGGGUGAGUAACACGUGGGUGAUCUGCCCUGGACUCUGGGAUAAGCCUGGGAAACUGGGUCUAAUACCGGAUAUGACCUUACAUCGCAUGGUGUUUGGUGGAAAGCUUUUGCGGUUCAGGAUGGGCCCGCGGCCUAUCAGCUUGUUGGUGGGGUAAUGGCCUACCAAGGCGACGACGGGUAGCCGACCUGAGAGGGUGAUCGGCCACACUGGGACUGAGAUACGGCCCAGACUCCUACGGGAGGCAGCAGUGGGGAAUAUUGCACAAUGGGCGCAAGCCUGAUGCAGCGACGCCGCGUGAGGGAUGACGGCCUUCGGGUUGUAAACCUCUUUCACCAGGGACGAAGCGUGAGUGACGGUACCUGGAGAAGAAGCACCGGCCAACUACGUG